GAUGAACGCUGGCGGCGUGCUUAACACAUGCAAGUCGAACGAUGAACCAGGUGCUUGCACUUGGGGAUUAGUGGCGAACGGGUGAGUAACACGUGAGCAACCUGCCCCUCACUCUGGGAUAAGCGCUGGAAACGGCGUCUAAUACUGGAUACGAGUCGCAACCGCAUGGUUAGUGACUGGAAAGAUUUUUUGGUGGGGGAUGGGCUCGCGGCCUAUCAGCUUGUUGGUGAGGUAAUGGCUCACCAAGGCGUCGACGGGUAGCCGGCCUGAGAGGGUGACCGGCCACACUGGGACUGAGACACGGCCCAGACUCCUACGGGAGGCAGCAGUGGGGAAUAUUGCACAAUGGGCGGAAGCCUGAUGCAGCAACGCCGCGUGAGGGAUGACGGCCUUCGGGUUGUAAACCUCUUUUAGCAGGGAAGAAGCGAAAGUGAC
Molecule: ribosomal RNA, 435 nt
Filed under: bacterium Ellin341
Lineage: Bacteria; Bacillati; Actinomycetota; Actinomycetes; Micrococcales; Microbacteriaceae
Description: bacterial SSU rRNA
Rfam family: Bacterial small subunit ribosomal RNA
Source: RNAcentral